This 559-nucleotide small RNA is filed under the name Pan troglodytes (chimpanzee). Its description in RNAcentral is "processed transcript". Lineage: Eukaryota; Metazoa; Chordata; Mammalia; Primates; Hominidae. The record is from RNAcentral.
AAUAUUAUAAAGGCAAAUAGAAAGCUCACAAUUAUUGGACGUUUAAAAAUAUUAGUUGUGCUAACUUUGGUUUUAGCAAAGACCUACAUUCCAAUUAUUGAGCAAUUUAAAUUGAUGACUAAGCAAACUUGCAGAUGGGCCUUUGGGUCCCCGAGGAUUAGCUGAAGCUACAGAGAUGUGCACUCAAGAGUGCUUGGUUUUGGGUCACUCUGAUAAUUGCUGGAUGCCUCCUGGCUUGGGUCCAUAUCCACACCCCAAAUCUCCUCUCUCAACCUUUGCACCCCAGAAAGAAUGGGUGAAGAAGGACAAGCUUGUGAAUGGGCACACCCUGACCAGAGCCUGGAAAGAAGACAGCAACAGGAACCAGUUCAAUGACCGUAAGCAGUAUGGCUCCAAUGAAGGCCAUUUCAACAAUGGCAGCCACAUGACAGACAUUCCUCUGGCAAAUCUGAAGUCUUAUAAGCAAGCAGGAGGUGCAACUGAGAGUCCUAAGGAGCACCAACUCUAAGAAAAGGCUACAUGGGACCUAAUAACUUUAAAUAGACAUGCUAAUACCGUG